Molecule: long non-coding RNA, 1709 nt
Filed under: Equus caballus (horse)
Lineage: Eukaryota; Metazoa; Chordata; Mammalia; Perissodactyla; Equidae
Description: lncRNA (ENSECAG00000060381.1)
Source: RNAcentral
CAAGCAAAAGCUAAAAAGUCCCCAGAUGCUGGUCUGGAGACCACACUUUUGUAGCAAGUUCCCCUACUUGUUUCCAAAUUCCCUUCCAGUUGAUUAGUGGAGAUUAGAAUCAGCUGGGGAGUAUUUUAAACCUCAAUGAAUGCCCAGUCUGCAUACCCAGAAAUUCUGAUUUAAUUGGCCCAGGCUUUGUGGGUUUUUUGUUUUUGUUUUUAAUGUUCCAGAUUAUUCUAAUGUGCCUCCAGGAUUGAGAAUUACUGCACUAAAUAGCAUUAAUCCUCUAUAUGAAACUUCAGUUUCUAGGCUGAAGCUCAGCUCUAAUGAGGACAUGAAAUUCGUGUUACUCUCAAAGGAUAGACUACAGUGGUCCCUGGGAGGGGCAGACUGUGCAGAUGGGGCCUUGGUACCUCAGUUGAGCUCCACUUUCUCGUUCCUCUGAGCUCCCAUAAGCUGCCACUGCUCAGAUUUCUGAGUCAGUUCUCUACGUGACCUCAUGUGCUGCCCCUCCUCUUGAGUCCCCAGAAGCCAAACCUGGUGACAUCUCCCAUGCCUUGGCUCACCCAUCCAGGUUCCUCAGCUGUUGAGUGAACACCUUCUAACCUCUUCACGCCUUCUUCCCGUGCAGGCCUCCUCAGGCGUGGGGCACUGUCUCAAGUUUAUUCCCUUCCACCCACAUCCCUGCUUCUGUGAGGCUGCUUGUCCUGACCAAGUGAAAUCAGGUGUGGUUGACAACUGACUGCCUUGAAGUGAGAUGAGCUGAACUUGCUCCCAGCCUGAGCUGGCUGUCCCCACUGCUCUGCUUUCUCAGUCCAUUCCCUCAGCUCCUGGCCUCUGGAUCUCUCUUAGAACUGCUGCUUCUUUCCUGGAUGAAGAAGAGAGCAACAUGACAUGGCUCAGUUGGGAAGUUUGCUCCCAUCCACUAAAAGUUUUAUAUUUCUCCUCCCUUGGUUUUUUUGGCCGAAAUCUUUCAUCUUGCAGCCAGAAUGCUGGAAUUCAUAAGCCUCUAGGUUGAGAAAAAUGUAAAUGAAAGAAUAAAUAAGUAAGUGAUAUAUGUAAUCAAAAGGAUGACCACAAUUUCAAUGCACACCCUUGCAGAAAGUCCAAUAAAUAUUUAUUGAGCAUCACUACAAGCUAGGACUGGACCCUGACCUAAAGUGGUGGAUAAGUUGGUGUGGUCCUUGCUCUCCCUCAGCUUGCAUUCUUUAGUAUACCAAAGCCUGUGCACCCAAAAGCAGCUGUGUGUGAAGUGGAGCUGACCAACGGGGUUCAACUCACAGGCUCAUGCCUCAGCUACGUCCACUGUUGGGUCCUGAUGAACAGCUAGGGCCGCCUAACCAAACCCACGUGCCUAAGGACUGUGGAUCCUCCUGGGAAUUUCCGAGGACGUGGGGGUUCAGGCUGCCAAGACGGAUGUGACCAGCAAGGAGCUUCUAAGGUCUGAAGAUUGGGAAGGUCAAGGGUCAAGCUCUCCUAAGCCCCAAAGAGCGAGUCACCCCUCUCGAGUCCUUUCCUGUGAGUUCUUCUCCUCCAACCCCUUGAAAACAAGAUCUCCAUUUCACCUCAGCCAUAAGGUGAUCCAGUGCCAGGAGUGUUUUUAGUCACUCUAACCAGUCCCCAGGGCCACAUCAAUGCAACGUCCAAAAAGGCAAGCGUUUGGAACUCUGAAGCCCCCGGAGACGACAACAGGACUCUGCAAUGAUGUGCUUUAUGGA